AACGAACGCUGGCGGCAUGCCUAACACAUGCAAGUCGAACGAGACCUUCGGGUCUAGUGGCGCACGGGUGCGUAACGCGUGGGAACCUGCCCUUAGGUUCGGAAUAACUCCCCGAAAGGGGUGCUAAUACCGGAUAAUGUCUUCGGACCAAAGAUUUAUCGCCUUUGGAUGGGCCCGCGUUGGAUUCACUAGUUGGUAGGGUAAAAGCCUACCAAGGCGACGAUCCAUAGCUGGUCUGAGAGGAUGAUCAGCCACACUGGGACUGAGACACGGCCCAGACUCCUACGGGAGGCAGCAGUGGGGAAUAUUGGACAAUGGGCGAAAGCCUGAUCCAGCAAUGCCGCGUGAGUGAUGAAGGCCUUAGGGUUGUAAAGCUCUUUUACCCGGGAUGAUAAUGACAGUACCGGGAGAAUAAGCUCCGGCUAACUCCGUG
RNAcentral lists this ribosomal RNA (433 nucleotides) under uncultured bacterium. RNAcentral's name for it is "partial 16S ribosomal RNA". It matches the Rfam family "Bacterial small subunit ribosomal RNA", at positions 29 to 507 of the family's 1533-position model. The record is from RNAcentral.